RNAcentral lists this small nuclear RNA (104 nucleotides) under Jaculus jaculus (lesser Egyptian jerboa). Lineage: Eukaryota; Metazoa; Chordata; Mammalia; Rodentia; Dipodidae. The record is from RNAcentral.
GUGCUUGCUUCAGCAGCACAUAUACUAAAAUUGGAGUGAUACAGAGAUUAGCAUGGCCCCUGAGCAAGGAUGACACGCAAAUUCGUGAAGUGUUCCAUAUUUUU